GAAAAGUUCAUGGAGUCUGGCCAAGUUGAUACCAGCACACAAAAUAUUAGCUCUGAAGUUGGCUGUACUGGAGCAUGAGAAAUAUAUGCUUGUGUAACGAUGUAAAAGAAUGAAUAUGGUUUUGUUGUUGUUAAAUUCCUGUUAAACUUGGGAUCGCAACCAUGGGUUUAUUUUGGAACUUUUAUUUUGAAAACCCGCAGCGGAAGUCUGCUACUGGUAAACGGGCUACCCCCCUGUCUAUCGUUAGGAGCAAUGAAGCUUUCGCUGUGGUAAGUCCUCUCCGUCCGCUCUCACAGAGCAUGAGUUUAAAACAUAUUUUUUUAAAUCCUCAUCCAGAGAGUUUUAUUCGCACAGCGCUGGAAAGAGAAGCUGGCCAGGGGUUACACUUGUAAGUACGAUUAUAUUCUGUGUUCAUGUUAAGCAUGUGAUGUAAAAUGGGUUGUUGACUCUCAUAUUUGAAGCCGGCAUGUUAGCUGCAUUGCCGAUGCUAAUUCAUUGUGUGUUAGCAUCAAGCUAGCGGGAUUUGGAGUUAACAUGUUUUCAUUUAUUUGUCUUGGUUAUACCAGCUAUAGUUCAAGUUGCUAAGUCUUCAGUCUGUAUUUUGUAAUGUGAGAAAUAUAUUAUGUUCCAGAUGUAUGUUUUAAUAUGUUUUUCUUAUGUCUCUCCUUUUGAAGAACUGUUUAUCUAUCUGCCAAACUGGAACGUACAGGGAGGGCCGAACACACAUAAUACAGUAGCUGCUAAUGUGUUAACGAAAUGAAGCUCAACAGACCUGGCCUUGGAACUAGAUGAAGCUGUCUGUCACGGCGGGGUGCACACCCGAUGUGGAAACAGGACCCAAAGCAGAUGAUGACGAGGAGUAACAUCUACAGGAAGCGGUGCCUGAGGAAAGCGGGGAGGAUCAUCAAGGACUCCAGUUACCCCAGCCAUAAACUGUUCAGACUGCUUCCAUCAGGAAGGAGGUUCUGCAGCAUCCGGUCCCGUACCAGCAGACUGAGAGACAGCUUCUUCCAUCAGGCCAUCAGACUGCUGAACACGUCAUAGACACCUCAGCUUCACUACUGGAACUUCAACAUUAUGCACUCCACACUGUAUAUAAAUGCCACUUGUUUUGCACAUAUUCAACUCUGUAUAUUCUAUAUAUUUUAUUAUUAUUAUUAUUAUUUUUUAUUAUUUUUAUUUAUCUAUUUUUUACUAUUUAAUUUGUAAAAAUGUGUAUACACACACACACAGGAAAAUAUUUAGUAUACACAUCCAGAAAUGCAUACACUAUUAUAUAUUGUACAUACAGUGGGGCAAAAAAGUAUUUAGUCAGCCACCGAUUGUGCCCCCACUUAAAAUGAUGACAGAGGUCAGUAAUUUGCACCAGAGGUACACUUCAACUGUGAGAGACAGAAUGUGAAAAAAAAAUCCAUGAAUCCACAUGGUAGGCUUUGUAAAGAAUUUAUUCGUAAAUCUGGGUGGAAAAUAAGUAUUUGGUCAAUACCAAAAAUACAACUCAAUACUUUGUAACAUAACCUUUGUUGGCAAUAACAGAGGUCAAACGUUUACUAUAGGUCUUUACCAGGUUUGCACACACAGUAGCUGGUAUUUUGGCCCAUUCCUCCAUGCAGAUCUUCUCGCGAGCAAGCUCUUUGGUCUUGGCCAUGGCGGAGUUUGGAGUCUGACUGUUUGAGGCUGUGGACAGGUGUCUUUUAUACAGAUGAUGAGUUCAAACAGGUGCCAUUCAUACAGGUAACGAGUGGGGGACAGAAAAGCGUCUUACAGAAGACGUUACAGGUCUGUGAGAGCCAGAGAUUUUCCUUGUUUGAGGUGACCAAAUACUUAUUUUCCACCCUAAUUUACGAAUAAAUUCUUUACAAAUCCUACCAUGUGGAUUCAUGGAUUUUUUUUUUCACAUUCUGUCUCUCACAGUUGAAGUGUACCUCUGGUGCAAAUUACUGACCUCUGUCAUCAUUUUAAGUGGGGGAACUUGCACAAUCGGUGGCUGACUAAAUACUUUUUUGCCCCACUGUAUAUUUAUUAGUUUCAGGUUGGCCAUUCUUGUAUUUUGCUCGUUUGUGUUGUUGUGUUUGCACAUCUCUGUUGCUUGUGGGGCUCGCACACAAGAAUUUCACUCGCAUGUGCUGUGCCAGUGUGCCUGCACAUGUGAUGUGACAAUAAAAGUGAUUUGAUUUGAUUUGAUUUGAUUAUUCUUUGACAGACAACAGAGCACCAAUCAGGCUCUCCAGGGAAUCCCAACAGUCAACAGGACCCAAAUUCACCAUCAUACAUCCCUCUUGCUGUAGGCUGUAGAAUAGAUCUUUAGCUUGGUCUCAAGAGCCGAACAAGAAAUAUUGUCAUCAGUUAUAGUCAUGGUUGAAUUGGCUAUAGCCUCUGUCCAGGUCCACCUAAAGCAACAGGUAAAUCUCAUCUCAUUGUUAUUCUUUCAUCAUUGCGCAUGCUCACAUAGUUUUCAUCCUGGAUUUUAACUGCUGAUGAGUACUUAGUAACCAUCAGUAACUCCCUUUCACACAUAAAGAAAGGUGUCGGAAUAACAUACACGUUGAACCACAGACACAUAAGGAACAAUAGUCAUUGCAUCUUCAACACGACUAGUACCAGCUACAAGUUGUAUUCAGUUGUAUUAUUUUUGUGUUAUUUUCUCCCACAAAUUUGCACAUUUUUAUUUUUGAAGAAUUUGUGUUUUUGUAAGUUUUCUAUUGCUAAAAUCAGGUCAGUAUCUGCAA
Astatotilapia calliptera (eastern happy) is the source of this 2729-nucleotide long non-coding RNA. Lineage: Eukaryota; Metazoa; Chordata; Actinopteri; Cichliformes; Cichlidae. The record is from Ensembl.